GGGGAUUUAGCUCAGUGGUAGAGCGCUUGCCUCGCAAGUACAAGGCCCUGGGUUCGGUCCCCAGCUCCG
Molecule: transfer RNA, 69 nt
Filed under: Rattus norvegicus (Norway rat)
Lineage: Eukaryota; Metazoa; Chordata; Mammalia; Rodentia; Muridae
Rfam family: tRNA
About the family: Transfer RNA (tRNA) molecules are approximately 80 nucleotides in length. Their secondary structure includes four short double-helical elements and three loops (D, anti-codon, and T loops). Further hydrogen bonds mediate the characteristic L-shaped molecular structure. tRNAs have two regions of fundamental functional importance: the anti-codon, which is responsible for specific mRNA codon recognition, and the 3' end, to which the tRNAs corresponding amino acid is attached (by aminoacyl-tRNA synthetases). tRNAs cope with the degeneracy of the genetic code in two manners: having more than one tRNA (with a specific anti-codon) for a particular amino acid; and 'wobble' base-pairing, i.e. permitting non-standard base-pairing at the 3rd anti-codon position.
Source: Rfam by way of RNAcentral